RNAcentral lists this transfer RNA (66 nucleotides) under Aethus nigritus. RNAcentral's name for it is "tRNA-Ala". Lineage: Eukaryota; Metazoa; Arthropoda; Insecta; Hemiptera; Cydnidae. The record is from RNAcentral.
AGGGUCGUAGUUAAAUUAUAACAUUUAAAUUGCAAUUAAAAAAUGCUAAUUAGUUAGCCUACCUUA